Molecule: ribosomal RNA, 217 nt
Filed under: uncultured bacterium
Lineage: Bacteria
Description: partial 16S ribosomal RNA
Rfam family: Bacterial small subunit ribosomal RNA
Source: RNAcentral
CCAUCUCAGUUCGGAUUGCAGGCUGCAACUCGCCUGCAUGAAGCUGGAAUUGCUAGUAAUCGCGGAUCAGCAAGCCGCGGUGAAUACGUUCCCGGGCCUUGUACACACCGCCCGUCACACCAUGAGAGUCGGGAACACCCGAAGUCCGUAGUCUAACCGCAAGGGGGCGCGGCCGAAGGUGGGUCCGGUAAUUGGGGUGAAGUCGUAACAAGGUAAC